Long non-coding RNA from Acanthopagrus latus (yellowfin seabream), 1912 nucleotides. RefSeq lists it as uncharacterized. Lineage: Eukaryota; Metazoa; Chordata; Actinopteri; Spariformes; Sparidae. The record is from RefSeq and is a predicted model, not a curated record. The transcript is spliced from 3 exons.
GACCCAGAGAGGAGAGACACCUGGUCCAACAAGGUGAUGGACGGUCCAAACAAUGGACAUGAGCCACCACAGGAGCCUGAAGGGAAAGUAACGAGAGCAGCCAGGAGCUGAAAAUGUGGGCAGAGGAACAGGAUGCUAAGGACGAGUUGGACGACAGUUUUCUGAACUGCAUCCUGAUUUCCUGUAAUCAAGAUUUGUGGACUAACAUGUUGUCUGGUUGGUGCUCGGCCCAGGACAGGAAGGCUCUGCAGCAUGUGAUCCAUCCAUCCACAGAGCAUCAGUGACAGAGGAGAGGUGAGGUGUCUGCUAAGAGAUCAGAGAAUACUAGAAAAGACUAAACAAACCAGAAGUAACCGCUGAGACUCCCAAACAUCCUCAACAAAAUAUACUGCUUUAGUUUCCGUCCAUCUGUGAUGAAGCAUUAAAUUAGUCAAACGUAUUUUACAAGCCUCGUGUUGGCAAAUCUUUUCUAUCAGAUCAGUAGGAAAUGUUGUGCUGCUCGCAAACAGACUCACUCUCUCGGCUGUAUAGACUUCAAGCAGCAAGAGCGCCACCAACCCUCAGAAGCUCCCGUGUUAGAUACUAAACUUUAUGUCUUGUGAAGGACAAACAUUAACAGUUUUCUUAACUCGCUGUUGUUCCUUCAUCGUUCCAAAUCCAAAUCAAUGCAUUCACAAUCUCCUGUCGCUCACAGUGUAACAUUUUGGCAAUAAGAGUUUUGGUGUUUUUAAUACGAGCAGGAGGUAUUUUCUUUAAUUAAAUGAACUCACAAACCCCAUCUUUGUUUUUAAUAAGGAAGUAUUUUGUAGUUAUUGAGUACGACUGAGGGUCUGUCUAAUAUCCAUGGCUGUUGGACAUUUUGUCCCUCUCUCUCUCUCUCAAAGACAGACCACAUGUGUCACGGAUUAAAGAUUUUGACAAAGAAUUACACGAAAAGUAACCGGUAAAAAAAACCCUUCAUAUUAUUCAUGCAAGUAGUCUAGGAAGUACUAAGUUCAGCGGUAUAUGAAUCGUGGACUACUUAUGAAAAAUCAUUUUUUAUUCCAUAUGAAAUGAAAUAUACUUAAUCUUGAGAUCUGGUCAGGAUUUCGACAAAGUUUUAUGUAACAUUAGGUUUAUUUCACCUGGAGGGAGGCAAAUAGUAACUGAUCUCCACACCUGAGUCAGCCUCCCACCAGAUUAAAUAUUCCUCUACUUAGCAGGUAACUGUAUAAAAAAGCAGAUUUAUAGAGAAUACUUUACAAGCCUGGGUCUGUGGGCGGGACUAAUUUUAGACAAAAUGAAUGAGACUGCAUCUAAGUGACUGUUACUUGGGAUAACACCUUAGAAACCUAAAUUUUGGAGUGAUGAAAAGAGAGAUCCCUCUGCACAAAAGCUUUGGCUGUAAUAUGUCAACAAAUGAAAUGAAGUGAUUUUGAACCUGGAUUUAUUAAAAGUUCAGAUUUAUGUUCCAUAAAUGUGUGUACUUCUAAUUAGAAAUGAUUCUCAUUUGCAUAUUUAAACAUAACAUUAAAUAAUACAUUGUGAUAUACAAGCAAUUAACAAAAUUUUCAUGGUAACUUUUUUUUGUACUUUAUUUUGUAGCUUUAUCUAAAAAUGUGUAGAAUAUAGCAUUUCAGUUCAGUCAUCUCAAUAAUGAUACUUUUCUCAGUCAAGUCUCACUUAAACUGUCUUUAUACUGUUUUACAUACAGUAAUACGUGGAUUAAAAGAGAUCUCCAAAAUUGACUUGGUAAGAACUCAUUUAUGUCAACAUGUACAUGUAAACCCACUUACAAUGAGCAUGCAAGGAAUGAAAACAGUGGUUUUGGUUGAACAAAUGCUUGUAUUUUAACUAGAUAUUAUGUUCUGACAGACAUGAAACUUGAUAUGAUAGUAACAAUUAGUAACAAUAUACGUACAGGGGACGAUGA